GCAAUCGACCAUAGCAUGUUUGAAAAGCAGGACUUCCCGUUCGCUCAGUCGUACUUAAAUCACAUGGCGCCUGGCUAGUAGCAAAGUUUGGUGACAAUUUGCGAAUCCCAAGGUGUCGAUUGUU
Molecule: ribosomal RNA, 124 nt
Filed under: Exophiala oligosperma
Lineage: Eukaryota; Fungi; Ascomycota; Eurotiomycetes; Chaetothyriales; Herpotrichiellaceae
Also listed under: 1 other name
Source: RNAcentral